UAUGUGAUCGUCUCUCGCAUAUCAAUAAGCGGAGGAAAAGAAACUAACAAGGAUUCCCCUAGUAACGGCGAGUGAAGCGGGAAGAGCUCAAAUUUGAAAUCUUAAAGGGUUUCCCUUUACGAAUUGUAGUUUAAAGAAGUGUUUUCUGUUGAGGUUUUGGUAAAAGUUCUUUGGAAUAGGACAUCAUAGAGGGUGAGAAUCCCGUAUUUGACCUUUACUUUCAACUUUGUGAUACACUUUCAAAGAGUCGGAUUGUUUGGGAAUGCAGUCCAAAAUGGGUGGUAAAUUUCAUCUAAAGCUAAAUAUUGGCGAGAGACCGAUAGCGAACAAGUACCGUGAGGGGAAAGAUGAAAAGAACUUUGAAAAGAGAGUUAAACAGUACGUGAAAUUGUCAAAAGGGAAGCGUUUGACACCAGUGUUGUUUUUCUGAAAAUCAAUUAAAGAACUGUUUAUGCUAAGCUGUUUAGACUUUAUCAGCUAAUCUGUUUAGUUUUGAGCUUUUCUUUAAUGCACUUUUCAGUUAACAAGUCAACAUCAAUUUCUUUUGCUGUAAAAAAGCUUGAGGAAGGUGGCUUGAGAUUCGUCUUAAGUGUUUAUAGCCUCUUGCCUAUGCAGUCGGAGAGAUUGAGGUCUGCAGCGUAGAUCCUUCGGGGCUAAAUGCAUUUGUGCUAAGUUAUAGCAUUUUAUAGACAACUUGUUGACUAUGAUUUGUCUUGUAGCUUACUCGCUUAUGUUAUUUUACCUACGCUUAGGAUGUUGAUCUACAGAGCGAGAGU
This 776-nucleotide ribosomal RNA is filed under the name uncultured Neocallimastigales. RNAcentral's name for it is "partial large subunit ribosomal RNA". It matches the Rfam family "Eukaryotic large subunit ribosomal RNA", at positions 24 to 635 of the family's 3401-position model. The record is from RNAcentral. Lineage: Eukaryota; Fungi; Neocallimastigomycota; Neocallimastigomycetes; Neocallimastigales.